GACGUAGGGGGCGAGCGUUGUCCGGAAUUACUGGGCGUAAAGAGCACGUAGGCGGGUAAUUAAGUCAGAUGUGAAAGACCAGGGCCUAACCCUGGGGUUGCAUCUGAAACUGGUUAUCUUGAGGGCAGGAGAGGGCAGUGGAAUUCCUGGUGUAGCGGUGAAAUGCGUAGAAAUCAGGAGGAACACCAGUGGCGAAGGCGGCUGCCUGGACUGACCCUGGCGCUGAGGUGCGAAAGCGUGGGUAGCAAACAGG
RNAcentral lists this ribosomal RNA (253 nucleotides) under uncultured bacterium. Its description in RNAcentral is "partial 16S ribosomal RNA". It matches the Rfam family "Bacterial small subunit ribosomal RNA", at positions 524 to 776 of the family's 1533-position model. The record is from RNAcentral.